Molecule: ribosomal RNA, 253 nt
Filed under: uncultured bacterium
Lineage: Bacteria
Description: partial 16S ribosomal RNA
Rfam family: Bacterial small subunit ribosomal RNA
Source: RNAcentral
UACGAGGGGGGCGAGCGUUGUUCGGAAUUAUUGGGCGUAAAGGGCGUGUAGGCGGGAAGGAAAGUCAGAUGUGAAAUCCCUGGGCUCAACCCAGGAACUGCAUUUGAAACUCCCUUUCUUGAGUGUCGGAGAGGAAAGCGGAAUUCCUGGUGUAGAGGUGAAAUUCGUAGAUAUCAGGAGGAACACCGGUGGCGAAGGCGGCUUUCUGGACGACAACUGACGCUGAGACGCGAAAGCGUGGGGAGCAAACAGG